AACGAACGCUGGCGGCAUGCCUAACACAUGCAAGUCGAACGAGACCUUCGGGUCUAGUGGCGCACGGGUGCGUAACGCGUGGGAAUCUGCCCUUGGGUUCGGAAUAACUCGCCGAAAGGCGUGCUAAUACCGGAUGAUGUCGUAAGACCAAAGAUUUAUCGGUCUGGGGUGAGUUCGCGUCCGAUUAGCUAGUUGGUGAGGUAACGGCCCACCAAGGCGACGAUCAGUAGCCGACCUGAGAGGGUGAUCGGCCACAUUGGAACUGAGACACGGUCCAA
This 278-nucleotide ribosomal RNA is filed under the name uncultured bacterium. Its description in RNAcentral is "partial 16S ribosomal RNA". It matches the Rfam family "Bacterial small subunit ribosomal RNA", at positions 29 to 334 of the family's 1533-position model. The record is from RNAcentral.